AUCUACAGCCAUGCUACCCUGAACAAGCCCGAUCCCAUCUGAUCUUGGAAGCUAAGCAGGGUUGGGACUGGUAGUACUUUGAUGGGAGACCACCUAGGAAGACCAGGUGCUGUAGGUA
RNAcentral lists this ribosomal RNA (118 nucleotides) under Pteropus alecto (black flying fox). The record is from RNAcentral. Lineage: Eukaryota; Metazoa; Chordata; Mammalia; Chiroptera; Pteropodidae.